GGGCCCCAGAAUUUCUUGUGGUACCUCUGGUUCGGGCUUAAUUUCUAUCAUCUUACGCACCAUCAGUGAGCGCAGGAACGCACUGAAGAUUCAAUCAUUUUCCUCCACAAAAACAUGAAGACUAAUCUCUUGUUGAAGUCCAGGCAGACGGCCCGUAUGAAAGGGUCCCGCACCAGAGCCAAGGAAUGGCCACAAACAGUCAAAAAGUGCUGGUGGAGAAACUGAAGGCCUCCUGCUGUGGGGAAAGUACAGACCACAAAACAAAAAGUGGACGGGUGCUCCAGUGCCCCUCUGAGCUGCCAGUGGUAGCACAUGCGAUCCUGGAGAAGAUACAGAAUAGAAGAGGCAGAGAAUUGAGAGAAUAUGAGAUACAGAAUGUCUCUCAGAAGUCAGAUUGUGUUUCACAAGCUGCUCUUUUCUUAUAACAUGGAGUUAUUUGUAUGGCAGCAGUUUGGUAUCCGGUGUGUCAUAAUGCAAUGUGACAAUGCCCAAUGGAGAAGUCAUCAGAGAAAGUGCCAACAGAUUGUCCUGCAUUACUGUGUACUCACAAGUGUGCACCUGGUUUGCAAGGCAGACGCCACACACCUCUAUUACAAUUUACACGUUUCUUUGUUUCUCUAUACAGGAAGUCAGCUGUCAAGAUUUCAGGAGGAAGGAAAAGAAGCCAAA
Molecule: long non-coding RNA, 669 nt
Organism: Carassius auratus (goldfish)
Lineage: Eukaryota; Metazoa; Chordata; Actinopteri; Cypriniformes; Cyprinidae
Exons: 3
Source: RefSeq, a predicted model, not a curated record